UACGGGGGGAGCAAGCGUUGUUCGGAUUUACGGGGCGUAAAGGGCGCGUAGGCGGCCAGCACAAGUCAGUUGUGAAAUCUCCGGGCUUAACUCGGAAAGGUCAACUGAUACUGUGCGGCUAGAGUGCAGAAGGGGCAACUGGAAUUCUCGGUGUAGCGGUGAAAUGCGUAGAUAUCGAGAGGAACACCUGCGGCGAAGGCGGGUUGCUGGGCUGACACUGACGCUGAUGCGCGAAAGCGUGGGGAGCGAACAGG
RNAcentral lists this ribosomal RNA (254 nucleotides) under uncultured bacterium. RNAcentral describes it as "partial 16S ribosomal RNA". It matches the Rfam family "Bacterial small subunit ribosomal RNA", at positions 524 to 776 of the family's 1533-position model. The record is from RNAcentral.